RNAcentral lists this long non-coding RNA (1675 nucleotides) under Sus scrofa (pig). Its description in RNAcentral is "lncRNA (ENSSSCG00030030868.1)". Lineage: Eukaryota; Metazoa; Chordata; Mammalia; Artiodactyla; Suidae. The record is from RNAcentral.
UUUUUUUUUUUUUUUUUUAACGUAUAAAUCCAGUUCUUUCAGCACCAUUUAUGGAGAAUUUAUUCCCCUACCCCCACCUCAACACUACGCUGCUUUGGAACCCACUUAGAAGAUCAAGUAGUUGGUGUUUGGAUUAAACCAACUUUGCAUUUCCAGAAGGAACUCCACUUAGUAAUGGUGUAAUCCUUUAUGUAGACUAUUUGUUGGAUUUGGUUUGGUGAUCUUUUGCUAAGAAUUCUUGUUAUCUAUUUCCAUGAAGGAAAUAUGGUUCUUUUCUUUGUGACGUCUGACAUAGGUACCAUUACUUACAGCUUCCUUAGUAGCGACCUUAGAAUGGUGUGAGAAAUGCUCCCUCUUCCUCUAUUUUUUGAGUUUGUAUAGAAUUGAUGUUAUUUCUUAUCUAAAUAUUUGGUAGAAUUCAACAUCAGAGUCAUGUGUACCUGAGCUUUGUUUUAUGGAAAAUUUAUAAAUUACGAAUUCAAGUUCUUUGUUUGUCUAAGUCUUUUCAGAUUUUAAAAUUUCUUUUUCAGUAGUUUUUCUAAUUUUAGUCUUUCAAAGAAUGUGUCUAUUUCACCUAUGCUGUCCAAUAUGUUGACGUACAAUUGCUAUGAAUAUUCUCUUACACUCUUUUAAUUUUUCUAUGUUUGGUAGCGAUGUGCCCUCUUUCAGUCUUAACUUUGGUAAUGUGUAUCUUCUCCAUUUUUUUCCUUUUGUUAGUCUAGGUAAAUGCUUAUAAAUUUAUCGAUCUUUUAAAAUAACUGAAUUUUGGUUUAAUUGAUGUUCCUAAUUUUUUUCUUUUAAUAUCUUAUUAAUUUCUGCUCUGACUUUACUAUUUUCUUCCUUCUGAAUGAUUUGGGUUUAAAUUUAUUUUUUUUUAACUCUUAUGGUUAAACCUUAGAUUAAUGAUUUGGGACAUUUCUUCUUUUAUUUUAAUGCAAGUGUUAGGAGAAAUAAAUUUUCCUCUAAGCACUGUCUUUACUGCACCCAUAAAUUUUUUUUUUGUCUUUUUGCCUUUUCUAGGGCCGCUCCCGCGGCAUAUGGAAAUUCCCAGGCUAGGGGUCGAAUCGGAGCUUGGCCUUAGAAAUGGCAAAAAAAGACAACAAAAAAAAAAAGAAAGAAAGAAUUAUGCAGAAUGAAACUUAAUUUCUACAGAAGUAUAGUCAGGUGUUUUGGCAAUUUGUAACAGAAAUUUUCCAACAGUUAGUGUAAGCCAUUUGAGGAGAGACUGAGAUACACCCAUGACGUGAAAGCAGGUAUGCUAGAAACUAAAACUAUUUUCGCUCACUGUCACAUUCAAAUAGACAUGCUCUGGGGAAAGAGGCAUUAUUGUGUCUUCAGGCUGGAAAAAGAAAGAGUCAAAGGUACUUCUAGAGCUAGCUCAGUCUGAAAUUUUCUAUUCUGGUGAGAUCGGUGUGGGAGAGUUGAAGGGACAGAAGAAACGGUGGAAUCAGAGAGUAGGAAACGACGCUGUGCCACAUCUUGUCCAGCAGUCACAAGAGUGGGGAGACUGGAAGGUUCCUUGCUCAAGUGCAUAUGUGUCUCAGAUUGUGAUGAGGGGGGGUCCUGAUGCCCAGAAGAAUGUAUUUUCCUAUUGUUUUCGGAUGAAGUUCUAAUCAUUUUGAUUUGCAGCAGUAGCUUGUUCCUUUCCUGGGACCAAUGUAUAGCAAAGAGUGGC